AGGCAGCAGUGGGGAAUAUUGGGCAAUGGGCGAAAGCCUGACCCAGCAACGCCGCGUGAAGGAAGAAGGUCUUCGGAUUGUAAACUUCUUUUAUGAGGGACGAAGGACGUGACGGUACCUCAUGAAUAAGCCACGGCUAACUACGUGCCAGCAGCCGCGGUAAU
This 164-nucleotide ribosomal RNA is filed under the name uncultured rumen bacterium. Its description in RNAcentral is "partial 16S ribosomal RNA". It matches the Rfam family "Bacterial small subunit ribosomal RNA", at positions 346 to 524 of the family's 1533-position model. The record is from RNAcentral.